AUGGCUAAGGAGACUCGCCAGAGGUUCUACAAAGCUUUUCUUCGUUCCACCCCGUUCAUGGCAUCAGUCACCACGUAUUCAACUGUCAUUUCGGCAGUUGGAUACUUGGUCAUUGAGACACUUGAGGAUGGAGUGAACAGGAAGCUGGUUGAGCAGGAUAACACCCUCGCCGUGAAGCUUGAAGCGGAGAAGGUGAAGCGUGAGGGUUUUCAGAGCAUGGAGCAGAGGCGACCUCUCCUCAAGAUACCCCAAGCCUCCAAGACUUUACUCCAUGCUUGUGGGAGUGAUACUAAAUCCUCAUUACUAUCUUCAGACCUAUGUUCUGUUAAAGUUUAA
Molecule: ribosomal RNA, 336 nt
Filed under: Triticum aestivum (bread wheat)
Lineage: Eukaryota; Viridiplantae; Streptophyta; Magnoliopsida; Poales; Poaceae
Description: partial small subunit ribosomal RNA
Source: RNAcentral